This 1515-nucleotide ribosomal RNA is filed under the name metagenome. RNAcentral's name for it is "bacterial SSU rRNA". It matches the Rfam family "Bacterial small subunit ribosomal RNA". The record is from RNAcentral.
AGAGUUUGAUCCUGGCUCAGAACGAACGCUGGCGGCGUGGAUUAGGCAUGCAAGUCGCACACGAAAGUCCCCUUCGGGGGGCAAGUAGAGUGGCGGACGGGUGAGGAAUGCAUGGGCAACGUACCUUGAGCACGGGGAUAGCCCGGGGAAACCCGGGGUAAUACCCGAUGAGACCACAGCGUCACAUGGCGCAGCGGUCAAAGGCUGGGGAUCCCUUCGGGGACCUGGUGGCUUUAGAGCGGCCCAUGUCCUAUCAGCUUGUUGGCGGGGUAACGGCCCACCAAGGCUACGACGGGUACCGGGACUGAGAGGUUGGCCCGGCACAUUGGGACUGAGACACUGCCCAAACUCCUACGGGAGGCUGCAGUCGAGAAUCUUCCACAAUGAGCGCAAGCUUGAUGGAGCGACGCCGCGUGUGGGAAUAAGCUCUUCGGGGUGUAAACCACUGUCAAGGGCCACCAAGCGAAGGGGGUGAAUACCCCCCUGAGCUGAGGAACCCUAAAGGAAGCCACGGCUAACUUCGUGCCAGCAGCCGCGGUAAGACGAAGGUGGCUAGCGUUGUUCGGAAUCACUGGGCUUAAAGAGCACGUAGGCGGCCUGCCAAGUGUCUUGUGAAAUCCCUCGGCUCAACCGAGGAAUGGCUGGGCAAACUGGCAGGCUUGAGGCAGGUAGGGGCGUGUGGAACUCUUGGUGGAGCGGUGGAAUGCGUAGAUAUCAAGAGGAACGCCAGAGGCGAAAGCGAUGCGCUGGGCCUGUCCUGACGCUGAGGUGCGAAAGCCAGGGGAGCAAACGGGAUUAGAUACCCCGGUAGUCCUGGCUGUAAACGAUGUCCACUAGGUCGGAGGUUCUCUGACGGAGUUCCGGCCACAACUAAAGCGAUAAGUGGACCGCCUGGGGAGUACGGUCGCAAGGCUAAAACUCAAAGGAAUUGACGGGGGCUCACACAAGCGGUGGAGCAUGUUGCUUAAUUCGAUUCAACGCGAAGAACCUUAUCCUGGGCUUGACAUGUACGGAUGCCUACUGGGAAACCAGGUCGGUUGCCUUUCGGGGUGAAACGUACACAGGUGCUGCAUGGCUGUCGUCAGCUCGUGUCGUGAGAUGUUGGGUUAAGUCCCAUAACGAGCGAAACCCUUGUCGCUAGUCGCCAGCGAGUAACGUCGGGGACUCUAGCGAGACUGCCGGUGUUAAACCGGAGGAAGGUGGGGAUGACGUCAAGUCCUCAUGGCCUUUAUGCCCAGGGCCGCAAACGUGCUACAAUGGCUGGUACAAACCGACGCAAGACCGCGAGGUGGAGCAAACCGAGAAAAACCAGCCCCAGUUCGGAUUGGAGUCUGCAACUCGACUCCAUGAAGUUGGAAUCGCUAGUAAUCGCGUAUCAGCGUGACGCGGUGAAUGUGUUCCUGAGCCUUGUACACACCGCCCGUCAAGUCAUGGAAGCCGGUAGCACCCGAAGUCGUCCCGAUACUGGGAUGCCGAAGGUGAGAUCGGUGACUGGGACUAAGUCGUAACAAGGUA